RNAcentral lists this long non-coding RNA (310 nucleotides) under Fukomys damarensis (Damara mole-rat). RNAcentral describes it as "lncRNA (ENSFDAG00000021929.1)". The record is from RNAcentral. Lineage: Eukaryota; Metazoa; Chordata; Mammalia; Rodentia; Bathyergidae.
GUUGAUUUUCCAAGAGGGUUCUGUCCCAAGAGAGCGUUUCUCAGUGCCUCAAUAACCAUUCCUUUUCAGUUGGCUGUAUGCAUGCUGUGGAUAGCAUGAGCACUCUGCAUGAGUAAUUCUUCCUAAACACCCUGACGGAUGUGGCCUGGUGUGAGAGAGAACUCACUUCAUGCUUAUAUGCACCUCAAGUAUGCCCUGGAAGGGGGACCAGGCAAGGUGUUUCACACAGUGCUUCUAACAGAUGGUUGGCAUCAGGCUGGGGUUACUUUGAGCACACUGCAGGACCAGUGGAACCUAAACGGUCUGUUGG